RNAcentral lists this ribosomal RNA (489 nucleotides) under uncultured marine bacterium. Its description in RNAcentral is "bacterial SSU rRNA". It matches the Rfam family "Bacterial small subunit ribosomal RNA", at positions 8 to 486 of the family's 1533-position model. The record is from RNAcentral.
AGAGUUUGAUCAUGGCUCAGGAUGAACGCUAGCGGCAGGCUUAACACAUGCAAGUCGAGGGGUAACAGAGAAAAGCUUGCUUUUCUGCUGACGACCGGCGCACGGGUGCGUAACGCGUAUACAAUCUGCCUUAUACAGAGGGAUAGCCUUUAGAAAUGAAGAUUAAUACCUUAUAGUCUAUAUAUAUAGCAUUAUAUAAAUAGUAAAGCUUCGGUGGUAUAAGAUGAGUAUGCGUCCUAUUAGUUAGUUGGUGAGGUAACGGCUUACCAAGACAACGAUAGGUAGGGGCCCUGAGAGGGGGAUCCCCCACACUGGUACUGAGACACGGACCAGACUCCUACGGGAGGCAGCAGUGAGGAAUAUUGGACAAUGGAGGCAACUCUGAUCCAGCCAUGCCGCGUGCAGGAAGACGGCCCUAUGGGUUGUAAACUGCUUUUAUAUAGGAAGAAACCUUUUCACGUGUGAGAAGAUUGACGGGUACUAUAAGAA